This 61-nucleotide transfer RNA is filed under the name Cordylochernes scorpioides. RNAcentral describes it as "tRNA-Ser". Lineage: Eukaryota; Metazoa; Arthropoda; Arachnida; Pseudoscorpiones; Chernetidae. The record is from RNAcentral.
UGCAUCGGCCGGGAAUCGAACCCGGGGUGGCAGGCGAGCAUUCUACCACUGAACCAAAAGC